UACAAUGCUCUAUAAGCCAUGUAGGAUUUGAGAAGGCAAACACGGAUCAACGAUCGGCAUAGGACGGACGCAUUCAAGGAACAACACAAGGAGUCCACGAGGAGAUGUUGCGACUUCGCGAAGAUUUUAUUAAUUUAACUUUUUUUUGGAAAUUUUUGUAUUUUUUCAAUCUUUUUUAUCCUUUCUGCAUAGCAAAUUGCAAUUUGCAAUUUGCAACGAUCGGACA
Molecule: non-coding RNA, 226 nt
Organism: Caenorhabditis elegans
Lineage: Eukaryota; Metazoa; Nematoda; Chromadorea; Rhabditida; Rhabditidae
Source: Ensembl